Molecule: ribosomal RNA, 405 nt
Filed under: uncultured bacterium
Lineage: Bacteria
Description: partial 16S ribosomal RNA
Rfam family: Bacterial small subunit ribosomal RNA
Source: RNAcentral
AUUGAACGCUGGCGGCAGGCCUAACACAUGCAAGUCGAACGAGUGGCGGACGGGUGAGUAAUGUCUGGGAAACUGCCUGAUGGAGGGGGAUAACUAUUGGAAACGGUAGCUAAUACCGCAUACCAUCGGAUGUGCCCAGAUGGGAUUAGCUAGUAGGUGGGGUAAAGGCUCACCUAGGCGACGAUCCCUAGCUGGUCUGAGAGGAUGACCAGCCACACUGGACAUGAGACACGGUCCAGACGCCUACGGGAGGCAGCAGUGGGGAAUAUUGCACAAUGGGCGCAAGCCGUAUGCAGCCAGGCCGGGUGUAUGAAGAAGGCUUUCGGGUUGUAAAGUACUUUCAGCGGGGAGGCGUUACCCGCAGAAGAAGCACCGGCUAACUCCGUGCCAGCCGCCGCGGUAAUC